RNAcentral lists this ribosomal RNA (253 nucleotides) under uncultured bacterium. RNAcentral's name for it is "partial 16S ribosomal RNA". It matches the Rfam family "Bacterial small subunit ribosomal RNA", at positions 524 to 776 of the family's 1533-position model. The record is from RNAcentral.
UACGUAGGGACCAAGCGUUGUUCGGAUUUACUGGGCGUAAAGGGCGCGUAGGCGGCAAUUCAAGUCAGCUGUGAAAUCUCCGGGCUUAACUCGGAACGGUCAGCUGAUACUGCUUUGCUAGAGUGCAGAAGGGGCAAUCGGAAUUCUUGGUGUAGCGGUGAAAUGCGUAGAUAUCAAGAGGAACACCGGUGGCGAAGGCGGGUCUCUGGGCCGAUACUGACGCUGAGGAGCGAAAGCGUGGGGAGCGAACAGG